CGGAACGGAACCACCGGGCCGCAGCGACCACAGGGGAGUUCUUCGCCGGCCGCAGGUUCAAAGCUAUCUGCAAUGAGCACCUUUAGGAAUUCAUUCGAAGGCGCAAAAGAAAAAGAAAUUAAGGCAGGAACUGAGCGAGGAAGGAAGGGAGGGAAAGAAAGAAAGGAAGAAAGAGAAAAAGAGAAAGAAACAGAAAGAACAGGCAGAAGCUGAAAGGGUCAUGGGAGGAGGCUGCUGGUUCCAGUGAAUGGCGCUGACCCCACUGAGACCAACACCUUGCUGGAGGCCUCAAACACUGAAAGAAAGACAUGCAAAGGAAAUAAUUCAGGACCAACUGGUGGGCUCCAAAAAGCUCUUCUAUGAGGAAGGUGAAUGCAGGCUCUGCUACGUCCUGCCUGUGAAAGAAUCCCUUCAGGAAACCAGAGCUUCCCUCGUUUACCUUUUCUCCUACAAAGGGAAGCAGCCUGGAAGAAAGAGUCCAGUACUUGACCCAUGCCCCAACAAACUCUGCUAUCAAUAUGGUGCAGCUUACCAAAGGUCCUAGAACUUUGUCAACGCACUUGGAGUAAUUUUUAUGAAAUAUUGUGUGUGAUAAGCAAACUGUGGAAAUUUAUAUAAGAUGUUGGUGGCAUAGAGUUAUACGAUUGUGUAUUAAGGGUAGUUCUGGGAUGUCAUUUUUUUUUCAGUUCAUCAUGACAGAAGUCCUUUUCAUGAGAGAAGUCACAUGAGAAAAAACUUUCUUAUAUUGUAAGCUCCUUCUAUAGUGGUAUGUGCAUUUAAUGACAUCCAACUACAGAUGGUGUAAUACCACGGUGGUUUGACUUAGAGUUUUUUAACUUUAUAACUGGUUUAUCUGGGUAUUACAUGCGUUUUAAAUGUGGAUCUUUUCAACUUACGAUGAGAUUAUCAAGACAUAGCCCCAUGCUAACUCAUGAGCAUGUGGACUUAUAAUGGUUCAAUUUAGAUUUUUCGGCUUUAAGAUAGGAUUAUUGGGGCUUACCCCCAUCUUAAGUAGAGAAACAUCUGUAUUGUGUAAUACUAUAUGAUGUACAUCUUUCUGUUUUCCUAUUUUUGUGCAUGUUGAUGUAAGCAUGGAAAAAUUUUAGGAAAUGUAUUUAUUAGGCUGUUUACAUGGGCUGCCUGGUGCAAAUCAGCAGUCAAAAAUGACUAGAUACACAACUAGCAAUGGGAGGAGAAAUCCUCUCUCUGUGGGAGGCACUGACUACAUUCCAGUUCUCCCUCCUACGCCCUGAGACUGGACCAGGGUUUGAUGUCUGGCAACUUCUCAAGGGGCCGGUCUGUCUUAGUUGAUGAUUUUAGAGGUAUAUAGAGGUAUUUAUUUACAAAUAAACAAAUAUUUAUAUAUAUUUAUAAAUAAACAAAUAUUUAUUUAUAAGUAGAUGUUUACAUAUGCCCAGGAUUUUGAAAAGCCUGGUAUCUUUGGGAAGCCAUGUGUCUGAUUUGUCCUGCUGGGACAGUCAUGGGACUGCAUCUUCGUCCUUGUCCACAGCAGAUGAGGACAGUGAGAAUUAGGUUAGAUCUGGGACUACAAAUAGCUUCUCUUUCAAGCGCCAUUACAGCUGAACAUUAGUGAAUCUUGGGCCUUCUUUGGGCUCAGGGCAGAGCAGGUGUUUAUCUGCCCCAGCAUCUGCCAUGGCAUCAAGAGGGAAGAGUGGACGGUGCUUGGGAAUGGUGUGAAAUGAUUGCUGACUCAGGAGUGGAUGGGCCCCUCUCGCUUCUGGUGGUCUGUGACCCUGAGCCCCUGAGCUGCAUUUUACGGUAAAGAUUCCUGAGCUGCAGCAUCUGACUCAUCUCAGAAAUAUCAAUUCUUAAACACUGUGACAACAGGACCUAGAAUGGCUGACACAUUAAGGCUUUGUCCUUGUGUCAUGCUCUAUUAUUUUAUUUAAAAACUUCAGUAAUCAUUUUAGCCUCUUUCCAGCAAACUCUUCUCCAUAGUAGUCCAGUAGUGGUAGGAUAAAUUAUGGAUGUAGUCGUUCAAGGGAUUUUGGUCUUUUCCAUCUCAAGCCAUGUGUGUUGUCUUGUUCCGGGACUGGUUUGGCUGGGACAAAGUUAGAAUUGCCUGAAGAUUUAGGCACAUUCAGUGUUGUGUCCAUGGAGUUUUAGGAGGGGGUGGCCUUUCUGGUCUUUGCACUUCCAUCCUCUCCCACUUCCAUCUGGCAUCCCAUGGGUUGUCCCCUGCACGUCUGGAAGGCACAGGGUGCUGCUGCCUCCUGGUCUUUGCUUUUGCAGGGCCUUCUGUGCAGGACACUUGGCCUCAAAGCCCAGAGGGAGCCAGUCCAGCCCCAGCUCCCUUGUGCCUUCCAUAGAGGCCUUCCUUGAAGAUGCAUCUAGAGCGUCAGCCUUGUCAGUGUUUGUUAAGCUUAUUCUUUUAAAGUAAGCUUCCGGACAACAUGAAAUUGUUGGGGUUUUCUGGAGUUGUUUGGUUUGUAUGGGAUUUGCUUUAUCCCCAGGCCAAACAGCACAUGACACACGACAGCCACUUAAGACAGUGUGUGACUCGUGGUUAGAGUCCUUUGAUGUUUCUGCCCUAUGGACCCUAUUUGAAGACUAUGUUGUAAUAUCAAACAAUACAAGGAAGCACGUUAUACAGAAAAUGCUCAUAUGUUUAUGAAUUUUGACCAAAAUAAAUAUGAAAUCUUAUAUU
Molecule: non-coding RNA, 2668 nt
Filed under: Pan troglodytes (chimpanzee)
Lineage: Eukaryota; Metazoa; Chordata; Mammalia; Primates; Hominidae
Source: RNAcentral